Molecule: long non-coding RNA, 765 nt
Organism: Hypomesus transpacificus
Lineage: Eukaryota; Metazoa; Chordata; Actinopteri; Osmeriformes; Osmeridae
Exons: 3
Source: RefSeq, a predicted model, not a curated record
GCAUCAUUGAAGUCCAAUGGGGAAAGCAGGACGGUGGCGAAUUUCCGAUGGUGGAUACGGAUAAGGAAAACCUACAGGGUGUGCAAAGGGGAUGACUGGUGGAACUGGUACAAAGUCUGCGUGAUCAAAUGAUAUUUGUUGUAGAUUGCUGUGACUUAGUCCCCUGUUCAGCGAAGUGCAUGUGCGCACCCUUGAGGGAACCUGGGAGAGAGGGGAGGCUGCCACCGGGUGGAAUUAAAAUGCAAGUACACUAGGACAAUUGACAAAAAUGGUCAUUAACCUCAGAUAUCUUAGAUUACAUUAAAAAGGUACCUAAUAGUAUACAAUGUUCAAUUUCCUCUGAUGAAACCUUUUCUAAAAAUCUAAGCACUGUUGGAAACAAACCAUUAAACACCAGCUCAUAUCCAACUCUACAGUUGUUUCGAUCUUCACAGGGGUCAAGCAGGAGAAAUAGCUCUCCAUGAAAAUCCAUUAAAAGAGAAUCCAUUAGGCUACUUAUCCAAUUGAAUUCGCAAAUGCUAUUCAUUUUAAUCAAGCCUUUUAAAACUUCUAUUAGUUUAUUAUACAUACAGUGUUGCAUAAAAAUGUCAUUCUCAACCUUAACUUCAAAUUGUCUGUCUCCUUGUUAGUAGUUUAUAGUGGCUCCUUUAUUUUAGGCUACAUUGAAGUGUGCAUAUUUGGCACUCAAAGAUUUUGAGGCAGCCUGCUGAGUUUAAUCUAUUAGUAUAUCAGCUUCUGACACUCAUGUGACUGUUCAGCUAAAAA